AAGACAAAGAAGGAGUAUAAAGGAAGGGAGGCCAGAGUGGUUUUGAUAAGGGUUGUUUAAACACUCGGAAGAUUCCGGUACGGGACAAUGAUUGGAGACUAGCUUGAAGCUUCUGCUCAGUGUCCAGCUGCAGUAGUGCUUGAGACAAUGGUGGUGAAAGGAUCAAAAGAGGCUGCUGCAUAAAAGAAUCGAAGAAAUCUUGAUAGAUGUCAAGAAACUCCAUGGAGCCUAAUGAAUCGCACUUAUCUCCAGGGGCGAAGCUAGAAUAAUUUUUAAGGGCGGAUGAAAUUUCAAUUUUUUAUAAUCUAUAUCUUUAUAAUUUGUAAAGGAUUAAAUUAAAUUUUUAUAAUUUUCAGAUGUCAAAGUGUAAUUUUAUCUUUACUAAUUUAAAAUUUUUAAAAAAAAUUUAAUGGCAUAAA
Molecule: long non-coding RNA, 419 nt
Organism: Gossypium arboreum
Lineage: Eukaryota; Viridiplantae; Streptophyta; Magnoliopsida; Malvales; Malvaceae
Exons: 2
Source: RefSeq, a predicted model, not a curated record